RNAcentral lists this long non-coding RNA (1053 nucleotides) under Gouania willdenowi (blunt-snouted clingfish). RNAcentral's name for it is "lncRNA (ENSGWIG00000020403.1)". Lineage: Eukaryota; Metazoa; Chordata; Actinopteri; Blenniiformes; Gobiesocidae. The record is from RNAcentral.
AUCCAUUGGUUUAUAACAAAUUGAUCUGUUUUUUGUUUUUUUUUGUUUUUUAAUAAUCAAGCCUUUUUUAAUAUUCCACACUACAAAAUAAGUAAUAAAAGUAUGUAUGAUUCGUGCUGAUAUCGGUAUCGGUAAAAGUUGUAUCGGGACAUUCUCAUUAAUUAUAUACAUGUUUUUAACUGUAGUCCGAAUAUGUGACAGCAUUAAAAACCGAUAUGAUCUUCAAUGGUGUGUUAGUAGUUGAAGAUAUUUAAUGUAUCUCAAAUUCUUCUUUGCUCUGUUUGCAGCUUGCACUUGAAAGAACUGAAAGUUGUCUUGCAUCAGUGCCAAAUACCUCAGUGGAGUCUUUUAAAAAGCAAGUCGAGCAAAUUCAGAAAGAGUGGUGUGAUCUGGGAACAAAAAUAUCCAGGGAAAUACCUCAACUGCCUUCUAAUGAGGCCAGUUCCAGGGUUCCUGUCGUCCAGGGAUUCAUGAAAAAAGUGAAAAAAUCUAUUGAUAGGCUUCAGGCUGAAAGUGAAAACUGGCAGGCCCUGUUGAAUAAACAUCGAAGUAAAGCUGAAGAACUGAAAAGGAAGGUGGAGCAGGGUAAGGACUUGGGUGUCCCUCUCGAUCCAACAUUGAUGGCACAGUCCUCGCAGUACCACGUAAUACAAAAUAAACCCGACUACCACCUUGUUUUCUGUCGACAACAGCCAGUGCUUCAAACCAUGGAAAUGACUAUGGAUUUGCAGUCCAGGAUGGUUCGAAAGCUUUUGUCCAUCAAGGAGUAUUCACAGUCAUUAUUGAAAGAGACCAGCAGCCAGUUGGCGGCCGAGGCAGGAUUCCAGGAUAUUUCAUUGGACACACUUAAGAAUCUAAUGAUUGCACCAUUACCCAGCACAACCACAUAGUAACCUGGUUGGAUGACAUUUGAUUUUGUUGCUUAUAUAUGGGACACAUUUUUUGUUCUUCUUUAAAUCUAUAUUCAUUAUUGUGUUUGUGAAAAUACCGAUUUCUUGCCUAUGUUUUUAUCUAAAAAAUAAACUUCAGAUUUGAGGGUUUUUUCCCCUUCCA